AUGUGUGUGAUCGGGCUCGUCGGGAUACGUCGGGUGCGCGCGGGACGUUCAGGAUACACUGGUGCGGUUGGGCUCGUCGGACGCGUCGGGUACGCGCGGGAAGUGCGUGGACGCAGCAGAAGCCGUGGCAAAGUGUACUUGUAUGUGUGUAGCGCGUGUGUGCGUGCGUGGCGUGUGUGUGGCGUAGUCACAAAGAUAGAUAGGCUGGGUCGUGGCGAUCUGUUGGAGCAGUCGCGUAGUGCGCGUCGUGAGCAAGCGCGUGCAUGCAGAUCGUGCAUGUGGCUGAGUAGGAGUGGGCAGCGCCCGUGCGUGACUGCGCCUGGGAAGUUGGAGCAGUCGCGCAGUGCGCGUCGUGAGCAAGCGCGUGCAUGCAGAUCGUGCAUGCGGCCGAGUAGGAGUGGGCAGCGCCCGUGCGUGACUGCGCCUGGGAUUUAA
RNAcentral lists this ribosomal RNA (435 nucleotides) under Triticum aestivum (bread wheat). Its description in RNAcentral is "partial small subunit ribosomal RNA". The record is from RNAcentral. Lineage: Eukaryota; Viridiplantae; Streptophyta; Magnoliopsida; Poales; Poaceae.